CAGCCGUAAACAAUGUGCGUUAGGUGUGUCGGUAACCACGUGUUACUGAUGUGCCGAAGAGAAAUCGUGAAACGCACCACCUGGGAAGUACGGUCGCAAGGCUGAAACUUAAAGGAAUUGGCGGGGGAGCACCACAACAGGUGGAGCCUGCGGUUUAAUUGGAUUCAACGCCGGACAUCUCACCGGAUAAGACAGCUGAAUGAUUGUCAAUCUGAAGGUUUUACAUGACUAGCUGAGAGGAGGUGCAUGGCGUCAGUGACU
Molecule: ribosomal RNA, 261 nt
Filed under: uncultured archaeon
Lineage: Archaea
Description: partial 16S ribosomal RNA
Rfam family: Archaeal small subunit ribosomal RNA
Source: RNAcentral